This is a non-coding RNA of Streptomyces autolyticus, 75 nucleotides long. NCBI's taxonomy places the organism in Bacteria, Bacillati, Actinomycetota, Actinomycetes, Kitasatosporales, Streptomycetaceae. The record is from Rfam.
CUUCACGGAGCCCAACCACAGCGGCCGAUCCGCAUCCCGGUCCUGACCAUAGGUGGCCAACAACGCCUGCGCCUC